Molecule: long non-coding RNA, 320 nt
Organism: Suricata suricatta (meerkat)
Lineage: Eukaryota; Metazoa; Chordata; Mammalia; Carnivora; Herpestidae
Exons: 3
Source: RefSeq, a predicted model, not a curated record
UGAACCUGCCGACUGCACCGAUAACGCGUGCAGGACACUGUCCCCUGUCUACUCCGCGUGUCCAGGUGCUGUGAUGAAUGACACAUCCAUCAAGCCAUAUCAUCUUCAGACUCUGCCAUGUGAAGCCAACGAGAGCUAUCUGCUGGUAACCAAAUGAUGAUCUUAUGAAAAGGUCCUCAUCAUUUGUCUUCCACUACAAUGUGACUUUCUCAAGGGCCAAGACUGUGUGCCUGAUACCCCUCGGAGUCUGUGCUACCCAGAAAAGCACCUGGCAUCCCAUAAGUAGGCUGUCAAAGAAAUGUUUGUGGGCACCUGGGUGG